GCAGCCCAAAGGGUGCAGACCUGAGACCUCUGACCAACAGUCAGCAGGGAACUGAGACCUGCUGCCCACAGCCAUGUAAGCGAGCAUGGAAAUGGAUCCUGUAGCCCUGGUCAAGCCUUCAGACACCUGAAGGGAAUGAUCUCCUUUCCUACUUCUGAGCAUUGUUACCUACAUGUGAAUCUUGGAACUGCUGCAGUCUUAAUGAUACCUAAGAUACCAGCCUUGAGUGAUGGGGAUUGAGAAUAAUGCAUUCCGCAGACCAACAGUCAUGUACAAAAUGCCAGAUAUUUUGUAGAUCUGUUUCAGUGAAGACACCACCUCUACUCGAGCAGCUGCAUUUGAGACUGUCAGCUGUUUAAAUUUAUGGUAGUCCACCAUAAUCUUCCACAAUCUAUCUUGUUUCUAUAGGAGCCAAACAGUGUCUUCAUUGAUUCUCGCCACACUUUCUGGAAUAGGAAGAACACAUGUGAUAAUUGUUGAUGAGUACACUGAUGGAUAGAACAUUGUAUAUUUCUCUAGGUCCUAUAAUCUGAUCACAACUUAUUGAGACAUAACAAAGUCUCUUUUGGUUCUUGAGCAUUGUGUGAAGAUGUUAUUUUUGAAACUGCUGCAGCCAUCACGUAACUAAGAGGGAGUGAGACUUCACGGGUGGAAAGAACCUGGAUCCUUGAUGACACAGUUGAUUCAUUGAAUCAACCACCCAUCAAAAGCCCAAUCCCUACACUUGGUUCUUCAUCAACUUUCCUUCUCAGCUGGACUCUGGUAUCUGCAUCCUACACUGAGUUCUGCUCCAUCCUUCAGCUGCCAGCUUUCUUUGGCAAAUUGCCAUUUCCACUCCUUCCUAGGGAAACCCUUUGAACCCCAGUCACAAUUUUGUCUUUGAAGCUUUGAUCUUCACUCCACCCCAUGGGGAAAGCUCUUUAUUUCC
RNAcentral lists this long non-coding RNA (928 nucleotides) under Equus asinus (donkey). Its description in RNAcentral is "lncRNA (ENSEASG00005027768.1)". Lineage: Eukaryota; Metazoa; Chordata; Mammalia; Perissodactyla; Equidae. The record is from RNAcentral.